GCCUUCAACAUUUAUCAUUUUUUUGUAUUGUGGAUUUGGAUGUGCCUUUUUAACAAAAGAUCAUCAACAUAUUAAAAUUAUCACAUAUAACAUUCACACCAUUUGAAUGUUUAUAUAACUUGCAAUAAUUUUUUUCAGCCCUACCAAAAAUCACAAAAUUGCAAAGAGGAGAAAACCUAUGGAAUUGAAGGAGAAUGAUUAACUCAAAACACAAAGAAACCUAACUCUAAGGAAUUUGCCAAUAGUCCAAUAACAAGUAAAUAAAAUCAAAUACAUAAAAUUAAAAGCACAUAAAAGUACCAAAUCAUUGCAGUUUCUUCAAACAAUUUUCUGGAAUUUUUUUGUUGUUGGAAACAAAAGCAAGAAAAUGAAAUUUGAACAAAAUUUCUACUAAAAUUUAUGCCAUUUUUGGAUUCACGUGACUUUGAAAACGUACUAGACUCAAGCAAAAUCAAAAGCACAAACGAAAAUCAAAAUAGAACACCUAGAAGCAACACAUGAUGGUUCAAGAAAGAACAAUUAAUUUGAACCACAUAAAAGGGACAAAACAACAAUUUAAUUGGUGAAAUGAGAUGGAAACAUGUUCAAGACAAAUAAAAAUAGUGAGCACAACACGAAAAUGAAGAAAGAAAGUAGUAGAAGAAGAAACACUUAGCUCACUAAAACUUGGCUCUAGAUACCAAAUGAUAGGUGUCUUCUUCUCCUUGCAUUGUUUUAUUUUGUAUCUUUUGAUGGAGUUGUGAAAGCUUGCUAGAAAGGAGGGAAUGAAUUAUGGAUUUGAAGUGAAUAAUAUGGGUUUGGGAGAAUGAGAGGUGAGGUCAACUCACUAGCAAGGAUUCUAGGGGAGGCUACACAAGAGACUAUCCUAAAGAGAGCUCA
Molecule: long non-coding RNA, 879 nt
Filed under: Phaseolus vulgaris (common bean)
Lineage: Eukaryota; Viridiplantae; Streptophyta; Magnoliopsida; Fabales; Fabaceae
Description: long non-coding RNA (PVUL_LNC001198)
Source: RNAcentral